Molecule: ribosomal RNA, 253 nt
Filed under: uncultured bacterium
Lineage: Bacteria
Description: partial 16S ribosomal RNA
Rfam family: Bacterial small subunit ribosomal RNA
Source: RNAcentral
UACGUAGGCAGCAAGCGUUGUUCGGAGUUACUGGGCGUAAAGGGUGUGUAGGCGGUUCUUUAAGUUUGGUGUGAAAUCUCCCGGCUCAACCGGGAGGGUGCGCCGAAUACUGAGGGACUAGAGUGUGGGAGAGGAAAGUGGAAUUCCUGGUGUAGCGGUGAAAUGCGUAGAUAUCAGGAGGAACACCGGUGGUGUAGACGGCUUUCUGGACCAUAACUGACGCUGAGACACGAAAGCGUGGGGAGCGAACAGG